AUCAGCAGGCCCAGAUAACUUGCAUCCCAAAGUUUUAAAAGAGCUGGCUGAAGAGCUUUCUGGACCAUUAAUAUUGUGUUUUCAAUAAGACUUAGAACACUGGGGAAGUUACAGAGGACUGGAAGAAAGCUAAUGUGGUGCCAAUAUUUAAAAAGGAUAAAUGGGAUAUGACCCAGGUAGUCAUAACCCUGACUGCUUGAUGUCGAUCCUGGGCAAAAUAACACAACAGUUCAUAUGGGACUUGAUUAAUAGAGAAUUAAAAUGAGGAUAAAAAAUAAUGCAAAUCAACAUGGGUUUAUGGAAAAUUGAUCUUGUCAAACUAACUUGAUAUCUUUUUUUAUGGGAUUACAAGAUUGGAUGAUAAAAGUAAUAGUGUUGAUAUAAAAUAGUAAGACUUCUGUAAGGUAUUUGAAUUGGUACUGCAUGGCAUUUUGAUUAAGAAACAAGAACAAUACAGAAUCCACAUGGUGCACAUUAAAUUGAUUAAAAACUGGCUAAGUGUUAGGUCUCAAAAUAUAAUUGCAAAUGGGAAAUCAUCAUUAAGGGUAUGUGAUUCUAAGGGUGUCCCACAGGGAUCACUUCUUGUCCCUACAUUAUUUAUCAGUGAUUUUAUGUUUCCUUCCAGGUCAUUAAUAAACAUGUUAAAGUUUGCAGAUGACACAAAGAUUGGGAGAGUGGUAAAUAAUGAAGAAGGCAGGUCACUGAAGCAGAGCGAUCUGGAUCUCUUGGUAAACAUAGACGAAGGAAGGAUAAAUUGACAAAAACUCGAUCACGUUAACAAAUAUAUGUAAAAAUACCAAACAAAUCCUAACUGAACAUCACAUUCCAGACCCUCUCUGCAGCCCUAAACAGCCUGAAAUGCACAAGGGUAAAGAGAGUAAAGGGCCUCUAGUAAUUCCAAAAUCCAGUCUCCUGUGAUUACCGGCCAACCUUUAAACAAAAUGCCUUCACACACUGUCAACCGUAACUGUAAUUCCAUUGUCUUUACAUGCUGGCCAUUGAGCUCCCAGUUGAGAAAACAGUCAAGCAGAACACAGUGUGUAAUACAGAAAUCUAGAGGAGACAAAGAGAAAGUCCAUCAGGGAGAGAGAAAUAUUGUUCAGUACAGAUCACCAAGCAAAAUCUACACAAAUUCCAGAAGAUAAGAAUUGUUAAUAAUUUCCUCCUCUGAGUGGUCGGCCCUGGCCUCUUCUGCAACCUCUUGUUCCCAUGAAGAUAACAUUUUUGAAUUAAAAAAAUCUUGGCACCAUUCAUGUAUAUCCAUAUAUAUAUGAUAUAAACUAUUGCAGAGUUUCCCUGGAUAAAACACUGGAACAUUUCCAUCCCUGUGCUAGAAAUCUUUGACUUUAGACAAUCAAAUUUCUAUUAUCUAUGAUGGGUUGUAUGGGACAUUUGAGGAAAUAUGGACAUGUCUGAAAAGUUAAACUUUCUGCAUUUUCUUUCAAGUAAACUCCAAGCUCUGUCUCCAACAGACAUACCUACAGUACUAAGUGUUCUUGGGAUCGGAAAGUGAACCAUUAAUUCCACCACACAGCAAACACCUGCAGCUGCUCCUGUAAUCCAAAAUACUGGUUAAGGUCCAUCACAUUUUUUUCUUUUAAGGAUCUGAUUAAGCUCCCAGUGGGGGCUAAAUCAAGCCCUAAAAUAGUAUCUGGACCUUCCAGAGGAUUCCAUGCCAUUUAAACUUUUUU
This is a long non-coding RNA of Chrysemys picta bellii (western painted turtle), 1691 nucleotides long. The record is from Ensembl. Lineage: Eukaryota; Metazoa; Chordata; Testudines; Emydidae.